UACGAAAGGGGCUAGCGUUGUUCGGAAUUACUGGGCGUAAAGCGCACGUAGGCCGGUUGGUAAGUUGGGGGUGAAAUCCCGGGGCUCAACCCUGGAACUGCCUUCAAAACUGCUAGGCUAGAGGAUGCUAGAGGUUGGAGGAAUUCCGAGUGUAGAGGUGAAAUUCCUAGAUAUUCGGAUGAACACCAGUGGCGAAGGCGACCAACUGGAGCAUUUCUGACGCUGAGGUGCGAAAGCGUUGGGAGCAAACAGG
Molecule: ribosomal RNA, 253 nt
Filed under: uncultured bacterium
Lineage: Bacteria
Description: partial 16S ribosomal RNA
Rfam family: Bacterial small subunit ribosomal RNA
Source: RNAcentral